Molecule: ribosomal RNA, 262 nt
Filed under: Bos taurus (domestic cattle)
Lineage: Eukaryota; Metazoa; Chordata; Mammalia; Artiodactyla; Bovidae
Description: partial 12S ribosomal RNA
Source: RNAcentral
CAUAGGUUUGGUCCCAGCCUUCCUGUUAACUCUUAAUAAACUUACACAUGCAAGCAUCUACACCCCAGUGAGAAUGCCCUCUAGGUUAUUAAAACUAAGAGGAGCUGGCAUCAAGCACACACCCUGUAGCUCACGACGCCUUGCUUAACCACACCCCCACGGGAAACAGCAGUGACAAAAAUUAAGCCAUAAACGAAAGUUUGACUAAGUUAUAUUAAUUAGGGUUGGUAAAUCUCGUGCCAGCCACCGCGGUCAUACGAUU